RNAcentral lists this ribosomal RNA (378 nucleotides) under uncultured bacterium. RNAcentral describes it as "bacterial SSU rRNA". It matches the Rfam family "Bacterial small subunit ribosomal RNA", at positions 28 to 410 of the family's 1533-position model. The record is from RNAcentral.
GAUGAACGCUAGCGGCAGGCUUAACACAUGCAAGUCGAGGGGUAUAGUAGCAAUACUAGAGACCGGCGCACGGGUGCGUAACGCGUAUGCAAUCUACCUUUUGCAGGGGAAUAGCCCAGAGAAAUUUGGAUUAAUGCCCCAUAGUAUAGUGACUCGGCAUCGAGAUACUAUUAAAGUUACAACGGCAAAAGAUGAGCAUGCGUCCCAUUAGCUAGUUGGUAAGGUAACGGCUUACCAAGGCGACGAUGGGUAGGGGUCCUGAGAGGGAGAUCCCCCCACACUGGUACUGAGACACGGACCAGACUCCUACGGGAGGCAGCAGUGAGGAAUAUUGGACAAUGGGCGCAAGCCUGAUCCAGCAAUGCCGCGUGCAGGANA